Molecule: long non-coding RNA, 15660 nt
Filed under: Sorghum bicolor (sorghum)
Lineage: Eukaryota; Viridiplantae; Streptophyta; Magnoliopsida; Poales; Poaceae
Description: long non-coding RNA (SBIC_LNC010304)
Source: RNAcentral
CUUUGCCUUAUCUCUGCUAUUCUUUCUUCUUAUCUAAUCUUUGAUCUCUGGUCUAUCAUGAAUUCAAACAUGUCUAUCUAUGCAUUUCAUAGACCUACGGGCACACAUCUCGAACCACCAAAAUCUUCAUAGCCUAUCAUAGCAUCUAGUUUUGACAUAGACCCCGAAUACAUAGAAUUUGUUCAAAAACAACCUUUCUCAGGAGAAGGUGAGGAAAACCCAUACACACACCUAAGAGAGUUUUAUAGAGUCUGUGACCUCCUUCGCAUAGAAGGCAUGUCCGAUGAGACCAUUAAAUGGAAGCUCUUUCCGUUCUCUUUAACAGGAAAAGCUAGACAUUGGUACAAACUCAAAGUAGGGAGUGUUCAUUGAGAUUGGAAGGAGUUAUAUAAUAGUUUUCUUUCUAAAUAUUUUCCAAUCUCCAAAGUGGCGGAACUUCAGCGUGAGAUUAUUUCUUUUAGACAACUGGAAGAAGAAUCUCUUAGCAAAUCAUGGGACCGCUUUAUUAACCUUACUCUCACUGGCCCAAAGCUUUCUAUUCCAGAAGAAGUUCUUCUAAUUCACUUUUUUGAGGGCCUUAGUAGGGAAAAUAAGCAAACCGUAAAUACAGCCUCUAGAGGAUCUUUCCACCACCUGUCCUCUAGUGAUGCUUGGAAUUUGAUUGAUUUACUGAGCGGAAAGUCUCCUAGUUUUUAUAUCCCUGAGAAAGAGAAAGAACUAGUUCCUAGACAAGAAGAAGAAGUUUCGAUAGCCAGAUCACAACCACUUCAAUCCCAAACUUUAGCUAUCGAUCCUAAACCAUCAAUACCCUAAAAUUCUUCACGAGAGGAAGGAAUUCCGACCUUAAAUCUUUCAGAUACUGAUGGUUUAGACUUUUGGUUCCAUAAGAAACCUUCAAGCAGGGAUAAUUCAAGUCCUUGCAAUAAUGGUUCUCUUAGAGAAUGUCCCGGUUCCUGUUAUGAAGAAGUCGAGGAUGACAUAUCAAGUGAAGGAGAGCUAAGCCAUAUAGAAAAUUCUAUCUGCUCCCCUUCCAUGUUCACAAGUUCUAAAUCCAUCCUUGACCUUAGAGAUCCCUCUUAUCCCUCUUCUAAACCCCCUCUUCCUUUCUAUUUAUAAAAACUUUAAAAGGGCGGUUGUCGAUGCAUAUGUCUAUAAUAAAUAUUGUAGAUCUCGUUGAGUUGAUCUUGAUAUAGGUCAGCGUUGGAAGGGAAACCACUUCGCCGACAUAAAUUGAUGGUUUCCCAAGGACAAGCUUAGUGUCCUAAAAUAAGCACUGAUCAGAUCGUAAAAUGAGUUUGUAAUUAUUUGCAACAUUACCUUGUGUAUUGAGCAUAUAAAGAUAAUUGUGAAAAUAUUCCUUCGGGUAUUCUUGUCACUAACCUUUCCAAGAUUGAGCAAGAAGAUCGGAUGAAUGACAAGCACAAGGUAUGUCCAACCAAUCAUCAUACAACAUUGAAUUAAAUUCACCCAAAUUUGAAUUUUGCAAAAUUCAAGCUUGGGGGAGUACUUUAUAUAAAAACAUCCUUUGUCAUGUUGCUGUUGGGUAUUUUAAACGCAAACAGAAAAAUCCGCAAGCGCACGGAUACCGAUGUAGCUUUCACCCAGGAGUAUUCCACAUUAAGGACCGUCAACAGUUGCUAUGUUGGUUGUCCCUAUCUUUGAGACAUGCUCAAUUUGUUAAAUACUAAUCACACAACUUCAUCUCCACUUGAGUAGAUCUCUAUAAAUGCCAUCACGCUACCUUUGUUUAUCCUAGUAAUGUGUUAGUUUGGAAGUACUGCACAUUCUUCUAUUGGAUUUUAAAUUAAGCAUGGUGCUUAGGUUAAACAGCCUUCCUUAAUCUCAUUAGACAUGGAGUCUAGUUUGGUUAUUGAACUAAAAACUGCUUGAGUAGAUAUUGGUAUGUUUUGUCGGACUAACCCCUGCAGGAAAAAUUUCAAUAUCAACCUGGGAAGUCCUGAGAUAAACUCACAUUAGAGACAAGGAGAGAGACACAUGAAGUUUAAUAAUUUACACAAGGAAGACGUAGCUCAUAAGAGAUGAUCCAUGGAGGGUGCCACAAACACGAUACACAACCACUAUGAAUGGGAAGCUUCCCCAAGGUGAGAUGGUACCAUCACUCUUCAAUUAAGCUGACUAUCUACUUUUAUAAGCUUCUCCUUGGUUCUGGCGUUCACAUAAAUAAAGAGACAAACAUGUAUGAUUUAUAACUCCAAAUUAACCAACCCAACUGAUUCAGCAUGUUUAGUCCUUUAAUCUUUGUUCCUAGUACUACCUCCAUGAUCCCACACUCCUAAUCAUAUGAGCUAAAAUGUUACAUAUUCAAUCUUUGAGAGAUAUAAAGAAAAAGACAUAUACAUAGAUAGAUUAUCUUUCCAUAAGGUUGAGCGAUCUGAUCUGACAAAUGUUAUAAGUGCUACACUCAUGAACUUAUCAUCCAUCAACUUUGUCUUGCUCACUAUGCUUAAGGUUAGAGAAGAACAAAUACACUUUUGGUUCUGUUGGUGUUUUCCACCAACAGGACCCAUGCGCUUGAUCUCUGCCUUUUCUCUAUGAGCAGGUACACUUUGAGCAAAACAUGGAGGAGUUUUAUAACUCUCAGACUCUACCAAGUGAAGGACCUGGAUCUACGAGCACAAACACACUGAGCAGGAUGCUGCCAACGCCGCACUUCGAACUGCUGGGCAAACGAAGAACAUGGGUGACACCGUGUCAAGAGGUGCAGACGUCAAGGUCCGCACCUGAAUCAAAUGACGCACCUGAAGAAUGAACACGAUGAGAAGUCUUGUUGAGAAGACUUAAAACAUUGAACCCUCGCCGAAAGGUAAAAUCGGUAGUUAUCCAUAUUUAUCCUUUCUGCAUUCCCUUUUCCUUAAAUUACUUACUUUCCUUAAAUAGCUUAUUAGUUAAUCAUGCUAUCUUGAAAAGAAAUUAAAAAUGUUUAAAAAUAGUAAGCCCCAUGUGAGUAUGCUCGUGCCUUAAAACCCAUAAGUACAUUCACUGUGGUGGCGUAAAAAUAAAAUAAAUAUAUUCCUGUUCUAUAGAAAUGAAAAUAAAAAAAUAAAUUUAUGAUCCUACCAAAGAAAGUAAUAUUUAUUAGAGGAAGCUCAACAUGAUAAAGGCAAAGAGAUUUUAUGCUAACACUUAACCAGUUCCACAAAGCUUUGUUGUCUAUUUGAGCUCCACAAAAUUCAAGGAUCAAAGAAGACUAGCAGACGGAGGACAUCCUAAUCGCUGUCAGGGUGCUGCCGACAUUCAAAUACACCUCCGUCACCUGCUAGCUACAUCAGAAGAAAUUACGUCAAAAUCCAGCUUGGGGGAGAGCACCCCCAUUUAUCCAGCUAAGUGUUUCUACUCAUGUUUAUACUUUACUCAAAUAAUAAAAAGAUGCAUAAUCAUAAAAACCCAAAUAAAGAUUUUAUACUUAUAUAUAUAUAUAUCUAUGCUUAGUUUGCUAAAUAAAUAAAUAAAUAAAGUUUGCUAUGAACCAUCAUGAUAAGCUCUCACAUGAAAAUGAUGAAUAGUUGCUCUGCCUAGUUCUCAAAAUUGAAAUCUCUCUCAAGUUUAGGCAUGACUGUUAUGAAUUAAGAUUUGCUCUAAACCUAAACUUGUGGGAAGAGUACUUGAUCUAAAGUCUAAGUCGUUAACGGAUACGAUAUGGGAAGGUUGAGCUGUUGUUUAUCUGUUCCUAGAGAUGCUAGAAUUCUGGAGAAUUUUAUCCUUGAAAAUCUUUAAAAUGUUGCAUGAUGAGUUCCUAUAUGAUGAGAGUUUAAAAUCCUACCACAGCCAUAUAUACAUGCUUAUUAGACUAUGAACCAUACAUGUACUUUUUAUUACUUAUGAGCAUUGAGUGUGGUCAAGCUGUGUAGACCCUUAGGGGCUUGUCAUGCAGUUAAAAUCAAGAUUCACUUGCACGUUCACUCAUACAUGCUGCUUCUACUCCGAAAGUACGCAUCCACAUACAUCCACGCCUUUCCAUCUCCAGAUUCACCUAAAAUUAUUCUACUCCUAUCAAGGAGAGAAUAGCCAAAAACAUUAUCCUAUCCCUGUUUUUUCUCGUGAAAAAAAUGCUCGAGAUAUUUUGGUUAUUACCACUUGCUAGAGGUUUGAAAACCUGUAGCCUGAUGAUUCUGUUGGGGCAUUUGUGGAAAGACUUGCUGCCCAGGCCAUCCACUAUUAGCAUUCAUCGGCAUAGACCCUGCCGAUGUCUGGUAAUUAGGCAUCAUCAUUGAAUUGACAUACCCUGACUGAGUCAUAAACCUCUGUUACGUCGGCAUUGAAUUUGCCGAUGCGUUAGGCAUCUGGAACGUUGGAGCUUGAGAAUUCCCAGUUUAAGGCCUUGCAGUAGUGGUCGUAGUAUACUGGGGACUCUGAUUCAUCGGCAUAUUUGGAGGUGCCGAUGCCAUAGGAGCCUUGCCUCUCACAUCAGCCGUCUAAGAUAUGCUAGGUGUCUUCAAUGUCAACUCUGGAGGCAUACCAUAACCCCACCAGUUAGGAGGAGGGACAGAUCCCGACAUCACCGAUGCCAAUAGAUCUGUAGCAAGCUUGACCUGCUCAUCUGAAGUCGAUGGAUUGGUCGUCAUCGGCGUAGAUUGCGCGUUAGUGACUCCUAAUGUGCUCGGAGGAACAGUUGUUUCUGUGCCCGCAGCGGCCGCUGCAGCCGAUGGAGCUGUGACCACCGGUGAUCCUGGCUGAUGAUGAGAAGGGCCCACAUAAUUUGGUGGCAAUUGUCCUUCUUUGAAAGUUCUAACCAUGGCAUUGAAAACCGUAUUGGAUAGCACACCAGCUUGAUUGAUCAAGGCACGGUUAACAGCACCAUCAACCAUGUCUUGAAGUUUACCAGGAUUGGCUUCAAAAGUAACCUGCCGAGGUGCCAACAGUGCUUCUUUCUGGAUCACCUCACAACUCCUGUUGAUGCUGAAAGACUUCAAACAUUGCUGCUAGUAGUCCUCCAUAGCCUUUGCAAUAGCUUGCUUCUGCACAUCUCUGAGAUUAGCUUCCGUCACAGGGAUGACAUUCUCCAAGUCGAAAUCGCUAGUCACCAUGUCGAUCUUGGUCUUGAAUCAAGUCCCACUGGGCAUGCCAAAAGAUAUGUUGAUGCAAAAGCUGAUCUGCAAACACAAAGGGCUAAUACCCGAUUUAAACGUUAAGGCGUGCCAGCCGAUUUGACCUUACUAUCGGCAAAGGUGAUAACUCGAAUACUUUGGUCCCGACAACAGCGAUGCGCCCGGAUGUCACGGCCAAGAGGUAUUCACGCGGAACUCGAGAAUACGCCGAGCUUAAGUCGAUGAACUCCUAAGAACUCGUAAUAAAAGAAAAAUAUGACGAAAUCGUCAAAAAAGUAGAUGCUGGAAUAUGAGUAAAAACUUGUGUUUGAUUGAUUGAUUGAUUUUUUUAUUACAAAGCCCUAGGGUCUACAUUUAUACCCUGCUCAAAGAGCUACAAUCAGACACGACUAGGACUCGAAUUCCAAAUUAAACAGAAUCCGUAUACAAAACGAUUUAAAUAACUAAGGAAAACACAAAACUAUCCUCCCGUGACAAACUGGGACACCACCAUGGACCAAUCGGCAACCUUCAUGUUCUCCUUCCGAGUCAUCGGCAGACUCCUCGCUGUAACCAUCGACAAGGGCUAACGCUGACCAUCGGCAUGAAUGCAUCACCACUCAUGGACUUAGUCACAUUCAGCUGUCCCCUCAUCGGCAACCACCCUCAUCGGCAACUCCCCUGCAGACCAGUUACUGUUGCCCUAUCUUGCCGAUCUACACUCUACCAAUCCUGGGUACGUGUCCAAAAAACGGUGUCAACAAGAUGAAUCCUAAUAAAUGUGCAUUUGGUGUAUCGGCAGGCCAGUUUCUGGGUUUCAUGAUGCAUCAGAGAGGGAUUGAAAUUAGCAGAAGAUCCAUUGAUGCAAUCAACAAAUUGCUCCCACCGAUAAAACUAAACUUCAGUCCUUGAUCGACAAGAUUACUUUUAUCACGCGAUUCAUAUCCAAUUUAUUGGGUAAGAUCUGAGCUUUUAGUCCUUUGCUCAAAUUGAAAGCCGAUCAAGAAUUUGUAAGGGGAAAAGAGCAACAGCUAGCCUUGGAUGAAAUUAAGAAUUAUUUAAUAAAUCCUCCGGUACUGGUUCCACCUCAACAUGGAAAGCACUUCAGAUUAUAUUUAUCAACCGAUGAUGCAGCUAUCGGUUCAGCUCUCAUUCAAGAAUUUGAACGGAAAGAACGUGUGAUUUAUUACUUAAGUAUCAAAUAUAAUCAAUAAAUAAAUAGAGAAAAGGAUCCAAAUGCAACCGACACCUAGACUUGGGGUUUUAUCUAACAGAAUUGCACGAGCUUUGUUGUUUGUCUAUUUCUGCAGGGGGUUAUCCGGAAUUAUGGAGGAAAGGCCCACAUGUUGGGUUUACAUAGAGAUACUAACGUGCACCACAAUUAUCCAACAUCUAGAAGAAUCCAGAAGCCACGGGAACAAGCGGGAGGCCGAGCAGGCCCGGGGACAGGGCGCCCGCCCUCCCCCUUGGGCGCCUGCCCUGACCUGAGAGCCAAUCAGGCUCUGCCUCGCGGAUCAUGCUCCACCAACCUAAGGGAUUAAGGAAAACCAUGCGAUUAAGGUCGGUUUGAUUUGACGGCCCAUAUUCAUUUGGAAGGACUAUAUAAGCAGGCCCCCUGGCCCCUGGAGGAGAGGACCUCUGAAGCCCUAAUUCAUUCACCCAUCUCGGGAGAAGAAGCCUCUAAUCAAGCCCUAGAGCCACCACAUCAACUAGAUCUCUAGUUUAGCAUAGCUACAUAGGAUUAGAACUAGAAGGAGUCAAUCUUCGAUUGGUUUCCGGAUCUGUCAGAGGAUUCUUGGUAAUUCCUCUACUGUUCUUCAUUUGUUCAUCAUUGUUUUUCAAUAUUAUGAAUAUGACUUUGUUCUACUUCAAUAUAUUGAUUAUGACUUUGCUCUACUUGUUUAUAUUUGCAAUUAUGUUGUUCUUAGUUCAUCAUAGUUAUAUGCUUGGCUUAGUUAGAUUGGAAUUAUAUACAUGUUUAGAAUCGUAUAGCGUUUAUCCUUGUGUACAACGGGUAAAUGAUAAGUAUUGUGUAGGCGUGGUGCCUAUACCGUAUUUAUCUGCGAUUGUACCCUAUAUGCCGGAUCACGGGGUAGUUCGUGGUGGUGACAGCUCCAUUGAUUCUUAUAUAGUCCCCCUCCCAUGUAUAGGACAGGCAGAGCAACAUUAUUACAGGGGAGUGAUUGCUAUGUUUCUCAUCUUCCUUGAUAAUAUCACUAUGCAUGGGCGUAGUCCUGUCUCGCAAUGAUUGCCAAGUAUAAUUGCAUUAACUAUGAUAUACUAGACUUUAUAGUUAAGAAUAACUUAGGAAAUAUUCUUGUAGUUCAUCCUAAUUCCAUGCUAAUGACUUACUAGAAUAUCUGUUGAGGUGCUUAUCAUUAUUAUAUGUGGCUAGUUAUGCUGAUCAGAUUAAUUAUCUUUGUCACCAUUCAUGUUUUAGCUAUAUUUUAUGUGACAUUUAUCCCUAUAUGAAAGAGAUAGAUAAAUGCUCUCUAUUACACAUGCAAUGAUAGAUACUCAAUUCCAUAUUCCAUUCCAUAAUCAACAUUGAUGAUUAGCAAUCCCUUCCCAGUGGUAAAAAUAUAAAUAACGAUACCUGGAAUACUACCCGGUUAAAAUGCUACAUCGGUAUUAAUCUGUGCACUUGCAGAUCUCAUUUAUUAUUUAUUUAGAAGAGCAAUUGCAUAUUUCAAUACCGCGUCUCUCAUGUCAUGCUGGGGAUGACAACUUGGCUUAAGUGGCAUGAGGGAUAGGUUCGGCAUUUUUGGCGCCGUUAUCAGAAAUAGAAAACUAAGUCUACUUUUGGUAAUGACGUUAAGAAUGCCCAACAAGCAUUUUUGGCGCCGUUGCCGGGGAAGGUUGAUUACUAAUAAGGAAUGAAUACGGAAUUUCGAGUCAUCAUUCGCAUCACUAAUAUGAUUGAGAUUAUCAAUUCUCUCAUACAGUUUUACCCCUGUAUUUUUCUAUUUUGAUUAUUUUAUGCAGGUAUGAAUAGAAGACAUCUUCCAGGAAAUUUUGUUGACAACCCUGAAGCGUUAUUUAGAAAAACAAGAGCCAAGCUCAAGAAGACAUCGUCAACACUUCAGCACGAAGCUUCAUCCAAUCCAGAAGAUCGCCGAAGUUUCAUCUGGAACUUGUCGACCGAGUUCGAAGGCAUGGCGAACAAUUCGAUCUAUGAGUUCUCAGCUCCCACUACAGACAACAUCCGCACUGGACCUGCUGCAGAGAUCGACUGCAACUUUGAGCUCAAGCCUGGGCUCAUCAACAUGGUGCAAGCCAACCAGUUCUGUGGGAAGGCGCACGAAGAUGCUAGUGCUCAUCUCCAACACUUCCUAGAGAUUUGCAGCACAUUCACCAUGUCAGGAAUCCCCAGAGAUGCUAUACUACUUCGCCUCUUCCCAUUCUCACUAUUGGGGAGAGCGAAGCAGUGGUUCUACACUACAAAGGAGAAGAAUACUACGUGGGCACUCUGCUCCACGAACUUUCUGGCUAAGUUCUUUCCCAUGGGCAAGACCAAUGCUCUCCGUGGGAAAAUUGCAAGUUUUCAGCAACAACAUGAUGAAUCCGUUCUAGAAGCAUGGGAGCGCUUCCAAGACAACAUCCUAGAAUGUCCCCAUCAUGGAAUGGAGAGCUGGCUGCUGAUGCAGACGUUUUAUCAUGGGCUCGGCAAUAGUGCCUGUGAGACCAUGGAUGCUGCAGGUGGAGGAGCAUUCCUAUCACUCACCAUACCACAAGCCACAGCUCUUGUGGAGAAGAUGGCGUCCAACCAAGGCUGGAAUGAAGAAAGAACCCAGACACGCAAGAGAGGUGGAGGUAUGCACCAGCUCAAGGAGGUAGACAUGCUGUCUGCAAAGCUAGACUUACUCAUGAAGAAGCUCGAUGAUAGAGCUAGAGAUAAGAAAGAAGUCAUACACAUCUACGACUCUCACAUGACUUGUGAGGAGUGUGGAGAUACUGGACACUCAGGCAAUCACUGCCCUGAGAUGCUUGAGGACGUGAACUACAUCAACAACAAUAACAACAACUACUACAACAACCGUCCUCAACAAAAUCAAGGUUGAAAUCAACAGAGGCCUAACUACUCAGGUAAUUAUCAAGGUAACAAUUCUUACAAUAAUAAUAAUAAUUUUCCACCUCUGAGAGAGUUAUUGUCUAAUCAAGGAAAGCUAAUGGAUAACCUAUCUAAGAAAUUGGCAUCUAAUGAUAAAAUGCUAGAAAAUAUAAAUAAUAGAAUGGAUAAUUUCUCUACUGCCAUCAAGAAUCAAAUUAGCUUUAAUAAAAUGAUUGAAUCUCAGUAAAAUCAAAUAGCUGCUGCUGUUCUUGCUACUAACCCCGGUAUACCGUAACAACCGGAAGGAUUAGAAUAUGCAAAUCUUGUAGACAUGUUUGAUACAGGUAACUACUGGAGUAACCCCGUUGUGGAAGUAACUACUGACCUUCUGCCGGUUAAGAGAGGCGAUCCAGGACGUCCCAUCAUCUCGAUCUCCAUCGGCCUGGUGGACUUCCUAGAAGCACUCUGUGACUUUGGCUCUAGCGUCAACAUUAUGCCUAGGGUACUCUAUGAAAAAUUCUUUACGCAUCCUUUAUUAGAAACAACCAUGUGUUUGCAGCUUGCAGAUCGGACGCUAAGUUUCCCAAAGGGAAUAUUGAAGAACCUCUGUGUCUGAGUUGGUACCUUGUACACCCCAGCAGACUUCGUGGUGAUAGAGACCGGUUCUGAUGAGAGGGCACCCGUCAUAUUGGGGAGGCCAUUCCUGAACACCUCGGGAGCUGUCAUCUACGCUAGUGCUGCCAAGAUCAAUUUCUACAUCAAGGGGAAGAAGAAGACGUUUUCCUUCAAGAACAAGACUGCACAAAUCCCAGAGCAAUCCCGACAUGAACCAAGUAAGAGGACCAACAGGAGGAACAGGAACAACCAUGUGUGGACCGAGUCAGCUAAGAUGGUCACUGCAGUUCAAGGAGGUCAAGAUCAUCGACUUAAGUCACCGUUUCUGACCAAGAAGGACGACCCAGGUAUGCCAAGCAUCCAGUGCUCCAUUAAUGGAUACAACUCCUACAAGACGCUUUGCAACACCGGGUCCGGCGUCAACAUAAUGACCGCAGUCACCUAUUAGCUUCUGUCCGGAACCAUGUGUUGACGGUUCUUAAGUAUCAAUUUUAAUUAUCAAAUAAACAAGAGAAAGGACCAAUAUACAAACAACUCCUAGAAUUAGGGUUUGAUCUGACAGAAUUCCACGAGUUUUGUUGUUUAUCUGUUUCUGCAGGGGGUUAUCAGGAAAUAAGGAAGAAAGGCCCACAUGUCGGGAUUACAUAGAGAUAUUAACACAACGCGCAAUUUUCUACCAUCUAGAAGACUCCAGAAGCCACGGGAACGAACGGAAAGGCGAUCGGGCCCGAGGGCAGGGCGCCCGCCCUCCCCCCUAGGGCCCCCGCCCAGGUGUUGUGGCCAAUCAUGUUCAACUUCGUGGAUCAUGCUCCACCGACCUAAAGGAUCAAGGAUAACCGUUCAAUCAAUGUCGGUUUGAUCCAACAGCCCACGUUCACCUGAGGGGACUAUAUAAGCAGACCCCCUGGCCCCUGGAGGAGAACAAGUUCAUCAUAGAGUUGAGAGGUGCCCUCGAAGGAUAACCUUUCCUCUACAUAGACUUAGGGCUUAGCAUCCAAUGUGAGAGUAGACUAGAUCUACUAGAUUGAGAGAGAUAGAGUGGAGGUGUAGAUCGGAGGAAGCUCGGCCUGUCAGUGUCUACUCCGAGGUUGUACCUGCAGGAUCAAGUUCUCCUAACCCAAAGCUUGUUCCUAGGAUUCUUCAGUAUUUCGACUUCUAAAUACUAGUAAGUUAUUGUUUUAUUGUUCUUUGGUUUAUGAGUUUUGCUUUAAUCUCUUCGCGUAGAGUUUAGAGUAAUCAUCUCUAGCGUAGACGUGGUGUUUAGGCUAGGAUACUCAUAGAUAUCCCCUGACUAGCUGGACCGUGGUAAUAGCGAGGAACAUGACAUUUCCAAGUUACCUUUGCAGCCCAUAUCCCGUUAGUAGGAUCGAUAGGGUUUAUAGGUGCGGGUUGAACAUCCUCUGUGGUGUCUAGAUUCCGUGAGCCUCCCCAACAGAACAGUAGAUUAUCCUUACAAAGGUUAGAACGAGAUUACGGUUGUAGUCUUCUCUAUACAUCGCUCACAUCGAGAAACAUUCUUUGUAGCCUAAAGGUUAGUAGUAAUAGACUAGGUUAGUCAGAUGCACUCUUUCUCCUAGUGGUAAAAAUAUAAAUACAAUACUCUGGAUAACAUCCCGGGUGAAGUGCUCACCGAUAUCCGUGCGAUUGUGGAUCAAUUCCUUAUUGCGUUCCCAAAUAUCAACAAACAUUUCUCGCGCCGUUGCCGGGGAGAAAGACGGAUUGCUGAGAUAACCUUGAGUCUUACUACUAGCUUGUAUCUAUACUUUUUUCUUUUCUUAUCUUUUUAUAUUCUUUAUUUAUUUUCUUACCUUAUGGAAAACCAAGAUUCUAAAUCAAUCUAUCAAUUUGCAACACCUUCGGAAACUGACCUUUUACCAUGGGAGUCAUCAUAGCCUAUCCAAACAUCCCAGUAUAGGUUAAGUUCCAGGUUGAGUGCCAUGAUUCAAAACCUAUCUUUUUCAGGAAAGGAAGACGAAAACCCUUACCUUCAUAUUAGAGAUUUUGAGCAAACAUGUGAUUGUCUUUGCAUUGAAGGCAUUUUUGAUAAAACUUUACGUUGGAAGCUUUUUCCUUUUUCUUUAAGGGGAGAAGCUAGACAAUGGUAUAAUUAGAAGGUAAGUCAACAACAAGGUGAAUGGGGAGUUUUACGAGCCAACUUUUGUCUAGAUUUUUAUUCCCUCGACCGUAUCGGCGACCUUAGACUCGAAGUCCUAUCUUUUAAACAAAAAGAUAAUGAAACUUUGGGAAAAUCCUAGAAACGUUUUUCUCAUCUUUUAGAAUCUGGUCCAAACCUUAAUCUUGAAGACCCUGUUCUUUUAUUUCACUUUUUUUGAGGUCUUCAGAAAGAUCAUAAACAAAUGCUACAUACAAUGUCUAGAGGUUCUUUCUUUCGCAUCCCUACUGAUGACGCUAGAGUGAUCCUAGAUAGAAUCCUAGAAGAUGAGAUGGAUAAUACCCUCCAUGAUGAAACCCAUGAAGCCGAAGUAGACACUCUGCCAACUUCUCCAUCUACUUUAGCUAUCCCAAGUUCUGAGCCACAAAAGGAAAAAUUCCACCACCUGAUUUCAUGCUGGAUAUAGAAUCUGAUCUUUUUGCCGAUUUUGGAAAUAUUUCAAACUACCAUUCUAUAGAUAGACCCCAAAACGGCCAUUUUAGCAUUUGUUUGCCAACUGAUCAUCAAUUGAGAGAGCUUAUUGUAGUCAUGAGUCGCGAAUGGUUGGAGGAGUCAGAGCUUUCCUCUAAAGUGAUCCGUUUGGAUACACCUCCUAUAACUAUACGCUGUGCUUAUGAUUCUGAUCAAUUUGAUGCUCUCUAUAAUCCUGUUGUGGGUAUCAACAUCAUGUCUGAAUCUUUUGCACUUAAAUUAUUUAAAAAUGUGGUCUUAACCCCCACAACAAAGGUCAUAAAGGAAUCUUCGGGACAAUUAGUCCCCAGUCUUGGAAUUAUUAAUGUCCAACCCCUUAUGGUAGAAGGCUCCAUGGUUCAUUUGAACUUCUAUAUCUUUGAUAUAUGGGACUUUGACCUAUUGAUAGGACAACCUUUUAGAAGACUCCUUUAUGAAGGUCAUACUGGAAAGCUACACAUUUAUUUUGGAAAAACUUUUAAAUUUCCAAUAACGAUUUCUCACUCCUUAAAUAAUAAGGCCGAGUCAUAUCUUUUGCCUGAUCCUAUGGUGGAGGUAAAGACUGCAUCUCUAGAGCUUUUAGAAGAACCAGACUUAGAAGACGAAGCUCCUUUCUUCAUAGAAGAAGAAGCUGAACCUUCUAAACCUGAACCCUUAGACGAGUUUGCAGAAACGCCUAUGCCUCCCAUAGAGCUUAAAACUUUACCACACGGUCUUAUCUAUGCUUUCCUAAACAAUAAUCUAGAGUUUCCUGUGAUCAUUAGUGAUAAACUCACUCAGGAGCAAACUCUGCGAUUGAUGACCAUUCUUGAGAAAUGUCGCUCAAUUUCUGGCUACUCACUCCAAGAUCUUAUAGGAAUCAGUCCUAUGAUUGGCACCCAUCGUAUUCCGACAGAUCCUUCUAUUUCACCUUCUCGAGAGCCCCAACGUAGACUUAACAACACGAUGAGAGAGGAAGUUAAAAAGGAAGUUAUAAAGUUGCUGCAUGUAGGGAUUAUAUAUCAUGUGCCACACAGUGAGUGGGUGAGCCCAAUCAAAUUGUGCCUAAAAAGGGAGGCAUGACUGUUGUUACGAAUGAAAAGAACGAGCUAAUUCCGCAACACACCGUCAUAGGGUGGCGGAUGUGCAUAGACUAUAGAAAACUGAAUAAAGCCACAAGAAAGGAUCAUUUUCCUUUACCUUUCAUAGAUGAGAUGCUAGAGCGAUUAGCGAACCAUUCGUUCUUCUGUUUCUUAGAUGGAUAUUCAAGGUAUCCCCAGAUCCUGAUCCAUCCCGAUGAUCAAAGCAAAACACCUUUUACAUGCCCAUAUUUAACUUAUGCUUACUGUAGAAUGUCUUUUGGGUUAUGUAAUGCACCAGCUUCUUUUCAAAGAUGCAUGAUGUCUAUAUUUUCUGAUAUGAUUGAAGAGAUUAUGGAAGUUUUCAUGGAUGAUUUCUCUGUUUAUGGAAAAACUUUUGAUAGUUGUCUUGAAAACUUAGACAAGGUUUUGCAAAGAUGUGAAGAAAAGCACUUAGUCCUUAAUUGGGAAAAUGUCAUUUUAUGGUUAGGGAAGGAAUAGUGCUGGGUGUUGACGGUCCUUAAGUACCAAAUAUAAUCAUCAAAUAAAUAAAGAAAAGGAUCCAAAUGCAACCAACACCCAGACUUAGGGUUUUAUCUGACAGAAUUCCACAAGUUUUGGUGUUUGUCUAUUUCUGCAGGGGGUUAUCAGGAAAUAUGGAGGAAAGGCCCACACGUCGGGUUUACAUAGAGAUUUUAACGUGCCGCGCAAUUUUCUAUCAUCUAGAAGACUAAAGAAGCCACGGGAACAAAGCGGAAGCCGAGAGGGCCCAGGGACAGGGCGCCCGCCCACCUAUUUUGGCCAAUCACGUUCAACUUCGCGGAUUACGCUCCACCGACCUAAGGGAUCAAGAAUAACCGUUCAAUCAAUAUCGGUUUGAUCCGACGGCCCAGAUUCACUUGUGGGGACUAUAUAACCAGACCCCUUGGCCCCUAGAGGAGGCACCCCUUGAUCAUUAUUCAUUAUUCAUAGACAGAGCAAAAGCUAGGGUUUCGAGAUGAGAGCUCUCCUCUCUUCUCUAAACUAGAGUAGAUCUAGAUAGUACCGAGAUGGAGAGCGAAGGAGGAUUAGAGGAGAGGCUGGCCUGUCGGUUCUUCCUCCAGUUGUACUUCGCCAAGAUCAAGCUCUAAUCAAGCUUGCUCAUGGGAUGACUCUGGUAAUCUACUUCUAAGUCAUUAUGCAAUUACUAAUCAUGUAUGUUCUGGUUCACAACUCUUUUGAGUACUUUAAUCUAUAGGACGCUAUAGGUGAGAGUUGUAGUAUAGGUGUAAGCGUGGUGCUUAGACCUAGAUUACUUGUGGAUAUCCCCUGUAUAGCUGGAUCGUGUGGUAGGCCGCGUAGGUGACAGUUACGUUGGUCCCCUAUAGUCCACCUCUUGUUAGCAGGACGGGUAGGGUUUAUCGACCUAUGGAUAAGCGUCCUUUGUGGUGUAUUUUUAUCACGUGGUUCGUCCCAGACAUAGACAUACCCCUUUGAAGUAGAGAAACCAUAGUUAUCCUCUCUGUUCUCCUACCAACGCCCAUAUAUUAGAUUGCUCUACUCUCUAUUCCCAUAUUAUCACCCAUUGUUAUGUUACCUUUAGUAUUGUUCUUAUUCAAUUCUACCAUCUUUCCUAUUUACACCUAUCUAUCUAUCUAGGUUAAGUUAGAGCGUAGAUCAGUUCUCCCGUUUCCCUGUGGAUACGAUAAAACCUUUAAUCGGGUAAAAGCUACAACGGUAUCCGUGCGCUUGCGGAUUUAUCUGUGUGCGUAUAAAUACCAUAGUACACUCUAGUGCCAUGCUGGGGAUGACAACCUAGUAUUCAAGUGGUGUUAGCAAGUGUCAACAAGAAUUUUUGGCGCCGUUGCCGGGGAGACGGUUGCUGAGUUGACUACGAACUAGCUUAAUCAUUUUCUAAAUAAAUAAAUAAAUAUAUAUAUACAUACAUAUAUAAAUAUACUUUUCCUUUUAUCUUUUUCCUUAUCUCUGCUAUUCUUUCUUCUUAUCUAAUCCUUGAUUUCUGGUCUAUCGUGAAUGCAAACAUGUCUAUCUAACAGUUUCAUAGACCUACGGGCACACAUCUCGAACCACCAAAGUCUUCAAAGCCUAUCAUCGCAUCUAGUUUUGAGAUAGACACUGAAUACAUAGAAUUUGUUCAAAAACAACUUUUCUGAGGAGGUGAAGAAAACCUUACACACACCUAAGAGAGUUUUAUCGAGUCUGUGACCUCCUUCGCAUAGAAGGCAUGUCCGAUGAGACCCUUAAAUAGAAGCUCUUUCCGUUCUCUUU